RNAcentral lists this non-coding RNA (91 nucleotides) under Minutocellus polymorphus. Lineage: Eukaryota; Bacillariophyta; Thalassiosirophyceae; Cymatosirales; Cymatosiraceae. The record is from RNAcentral.
AAAUCCUCCAGCUUCUUCUCAACAUGUACGAAGAGAGGGCCAUUCUCCAGGAUGGAUGCGUGCGAGCAGCUCGGCGUCUUGUCCCGGAAGA